GGGCCCGCACAAGCGGUGGAGUAUGUGGUUUAAUUCGAUGCAACGCGAAGAACCUUACCAGGGUUUGACAUACACAGAAUCUUGUAGAGAUACGAGAGUGCCUUCGGGAAUUGUGAUACAGGUGCUGCAUGGCUGUCGUCAGCUCGUGUCGUGAGAUGUUGGGUUAAGUCCCGCAACGAGCGCAACCCUUGUCCUUAGUUACCAGCGGGUUAAGCCGGGAACUCUAAGGAUACUGCCAGUGACAAACUGGAGGAAGGCGGGGACGACGUCAAGUCAUCAUGGCCCUUACGACCAGGGCUACACACGUGCUACAAUGGUAGGUACAGAGGGCAGCUACACAGCGAUGUGAUGCGAAUCUCAAAAAGCCUAUCGUAGUCCAGAUUGGAGUCUGCAACUCGACUCCAUGAAGUAGGAAUCGCUAGUAAUCG
RNAcentral lists this ribosomal RNA (428 nucleotides) under uncultured bacterium. RNAcentral describes it as "bacterial SSU rRNA". It matches the Rfam family "Bacterial small subunit ribosomal RNA", at positions 917 to 1344 of the family's 1533-position model. The record is from RNAcentral.